CUAAUCCAUCUCUCCAGCCUAAGAUCAGCAUUUCUGGGCUGGAGAAAUGGCUGAG
RNAcentral lists this microRNA precursor (55 nucleotides) under Jaculus jaculus (lesser Egyptian jerboa). RNAcentral describes it as "miRNA (ENSJJAG00000000959.1)". Lineage: Eukaryota; Metazoa; Chordata; Mammalia; Rodentia; Dipodidae. The record is from RNAcentral.